AGGACGACGCUGGCGGCGUGCCUAAUACAUGCAAGUCGAACGGUCUUUCUAUGGAAGCUUGCUUCCACUGAGAAGAUAGUGGCGAACGGGGUGAGUAACACGUGGGUAACCUGCCCAUAAGAGGGGGAUAACAUCCGGAAACGGGUGCUAAUACCGCAUAGUUUUCUUGAUCGCAUGAUCGGGAAAGGAAAGACGGCCUUUGUGCUGUCGCUUAUGGAUGGACCCGCGGCGUAUUAGUUAGUUGGUGAGGUAACGGCUCACCAAGACGAUGAUACGUAGCCGACCUGAGAGGGUGAUCGGCCACAUUGGGACUGAGACACGGCCCAAACUCCUACGGGAGGCAGCAGUAGGGAAUCUUCCGCAAUGGACGAAAGUCUGACGGAGCAACGCCGCGUGAGUGAAGAAGGUUUUUUCGGAUCGUAAAACUCUGUUGUCAGAGAAGAACAAGUUGGAGAGUAACUGCUCCAGCCUUGACGGUAUCUGACCAGAAAGCCACGGCUAACUACGUGCCAGCAGCAGC
RNAcentral lists this ribosomal RNA (520 nucleotides) under uncultured bacterium. Its description in RNAcentral is "bacterial SSU rRNA". It matches the Rfam family "Bacterial small subunit ribosomal RNA", at positions 32 to 518 of the family's 1533-position model. The record is from RNAcentral.